CUGCUUCAGCAGCAGAUAUACUAAAAUUGGAACGAUACAGAGAAAACUAGCAUGACCCCUUUGCAAGGAUGACACGCAAAUUUGUGAAGCGCUCCAUAUUAAA
RNAcentral lists this small nuclear RNA (103 nucleotides) under Pan paniscus (pygmy chimpanzee). The record is from RNAcentral. Lineage: Eukaryota; Metazoa; Chordata; Mammalia; Primates; Hominidae.